AUGAUUGCAGAAUUUGAUAUGGUAAUGCAAGAUCACCUUAGACGUGUUGAGAACAAGGAAAUCCAUUAUCACUAUCUCAGUCAUAAAAUACAAAAUGAGCUGAUAUCUCUUUUGGCUUCUGACAUCACAUGUUCUAUCAUAAAGGUUGUUAAAGAGGCCAAGUAUUUCUCUGUUAUCCUAGAUUGUACCCCUGAUGUUAGUCAUCAAGAACAAAUGACCUUUUUAGUUCGAUGUGUUAAUCUGUCUGAUGGCAAAAUAAAAAUUGAGGAGUACUUUCUGGGGUUCUUGAAAGUGGAUGACACUUCUGGCUUAGGGAUUUUCAAAGUACUUCUUGAUUCUGUUGAGUCUUUUGGCCUAAAUAUUCAAGAUAUAAGAGGUCAAGGAUAUGAUAACGGUUCUAAUAUGAAAGGAAAAUACCUAGGGGUACAAUCUAGGUUACUUGAUAUGAAUCCAAGAGCAUUAUAUAUGCCAUGUGCUUGUCAUAGCCUAAAUCUCACUCUCUGUGAUAUGGAAAAAUCAUGUGAGAAAGCUAUUUCAUUUUUUGGAAUUGUUCAACGCAUAUAUGUAUUAUUUGCUAGCUCUACAAAAAGGUGGAAUGUUUUGCUUAAACAUGUUCCUAGUUUGACCGUGAAAUCAUUAUCCAAUACU
Molecule: ribosomal RNA, 648 nt
Filed under: Triticum aestivum (bread wheat)
Lineage: Eukaryota; Viridiplantae; Streptophyta; Magnoliopsida; Poales; Poaceae
Description: partial small subunit ribosomal RNA
Source: RNAcentral